CUGAACAAAAUCCAAGCGCUGACUAUGGCUUCCUGGGAGGAGAGAGGAUGGGAGAAAAAGGAAAUUCAGAGGACGUAUGAAAGGACUCUCCCUGUGGAAGCUGCAGAUAGGUGUCAGGCUGUACCUGGACCGUGGUGAUGCCAUGCUCGCGACCAACCAGCACUCGGCCAUCUUGAAGCUUGGCAAUCCUGGGUUCUUCUACCUUCAUGAAAUCAGCCACAAGUGUUUAAAACUGCUAAUCAAGAAGAAACACAUUCAAAAUAGCUUUGAGGGAAAGAAUUCUUCAGCCUCAGUGACAUGCAGCUCAUCAAUGUGAGCUGUGGAAGAAUAACCAGAGAUAAUAAGGAGCCUUCACAAGGGCACUGAGGGAGCAUUCCUGCCCUUAUUACCAGGCUCAGGACCGUGUGGGCAGCCAGCACAACCAACCAAAGAUGAUUCGGGUCCAACUCUUUCCUUGUAGUGCCUCUAACAAAGGACAUUAAAGUCAAUUAACUAAAGGAGUGAAUUUACAGCGUGUUCCAGCUUUGUGCAGAUGUUGUUAUUCACAAAUGGAAUGGUUUGAACCCAGUUUCAUUUCAUUUGCCUUAAAGUAUGGCUUUAUUUCUGAGUGGAGGCACUUAACACAGAGCAAUUUAUUUUGCCCCACAUUUAACUUAGCCUAACUUUCCUGCUUUUGUCUCUAGUACUAGACAGGACUAAAGGAGAGCCACCACCUAAUUAACCACCAGUUCAGUGGACUCUCACUCAUAGGCAAUGCCACAUCUGGCUUCACUCUGUUUUAAAACUUUAUGCUUCUGUAGCAGAGUGUGGUGGUUUGAGGGGUUCCAGGUUAUCCCAGACUCCCUUAAAAAACACAGUCAUGCUCUGUUUUGGUUCUAAAUUAUAAGUGAGAGAGGAACUUUCUGGCCAUUGUUUUGAAUAGAGUAAAUGAGCAGGGCAUUGGUUGUGAAAGGAAAAUAAUGACAGAGUCUACAUUCUCUGGUUUGCUAAUUGGCUUUAUAUACCAAUUGCUUAUUCUUUGUUCCCUUUGCCUUCCACCUCCUCCACUGCUCCUCUGUGCAAGACUGAGUACUAACCUUGACUGACCAGAUAACAGAGGCUGUGGGCUUUCAUGCAGCCCAUUGCAGAAGGGGAGCUUUUGUCAGCUCGAGAACCAUGCACCAUGCAUUAGUCAUGAGUGGAUCCAUGGAGCUGACUUUCACCUGGAAAGGAAGACUCUUCGUAGCCACAGCAGCACACAGCACAGUCCAGCGUUUCCCUCAGGAUAAUAAUCAAGGUUUGCCAUGUAUCUGUAGGCUGAUCUGGUAGCUGGUAUUACUUUUCUUACACAGCAGCUUCUUUUUUCCCCCAUUUUCUGCCAUAAAAGCAGCCUGGUUUUAAUUCCUCUUCCUCUACAAAGUUCCUACUCUUACAGCAGUUCAAAUCAGGUGAAAAUUUACAUGGCUCAAAGUGAGCUUGGCUUGUGGUGUUUGUUAGAUGUUUGCAAAGCCCCUGUCUUUUCACUGCUUCGUGAAAUUGUUCAAGGGGUUAGGUAAGCAACAUGUCUGUAAUCACACGUAUUUUACAGUUACAACCAUGGUAGGAUUUAUAGGGAGGAAGAAUAAAUGUUAUUAGAUCAACAAUGGGGAAGAACAGAUGUGAUUUAGAGCAUAUAAACCCCUCUUCAAGUCUGAAAUAGAAGCAUCUCUAUUCAGAUGAGCAACAGGCAUGCUGAGGCAGUAGUUUCACAAGCCUUUCUUUUGUUGACAGCACCAAUAAACGUAUUUAAAAGGUUA
Molecule: long non-coding RNA, 1775 nt
Organism: Pogoniulus pusillus (Red-fronted tinkerbird)
Lineage: Eukaryota; Metazoa; Chordata; Aves; Piciformes; Lybiidae
Exons: 5
Source: RefSeq, a predicted model, not a curated record